CAAGUCGAACGGUGAUGCCCAGCUUGCUGGGCGGAUCAGUGGCGAACGGGUGAGUAACACGUGAGUAACCUGCCCCAGACUCCGGGAUAAGCCUUGGAAACGAGGUCUAAUACUGGAUACGAGACGCCCCUGCAUGGGGAGUGUCUGGAAAGAUUUAUCGGUCUGGGAUGGACUCGCGGCCUAUCAGCUUGUUGGUGGGGUAAUGGCCUACCAAGGCGACGACGGGUAGCCGGCCUGAGAGGGCGACCGGCCACACUGGGACUGAGACACGGCCCAGACUCCUACGGGAGGCAGCAGUGGGGAAUAUUGCACAAUGGGCGAAAGCCUGAUGCAGCGACGCCGCGUGAGGGAUGAAGGCCUUCGGGUUGUAAACCUCUUUCAGCAGGGAAGAAGCGCAAGUGACGGUACCUGCAGAAGAAGCGCCGGCUAACUACGUGCCAGCAGCCGCGGUAAUACGUAGGGCGCAAGCGUUGUCCGGAAUUAUUGGGCGUAAAGAGCUCGUAGGCGGUUUGUCGCGUCUGGUGUGAAAACUCAAGGCUCAACCUUGAGCUUGCAUCGGGUACGGGCAGACUAGAGUGCGGUAGGGGUGACUGGAAUUCCUGGUGUAGCGGUGGAAUGCGCAGAUAUCAGGAGGAACACCGAUGGCGAAGGCAGGUCACUGGGCCGCAACUGACGCUGAGGAGCGAAAGCAUGGGAGCGAACAGGAUUAGAUACCCUGGUAGUCCAUGCCGUAAACGUUGGGCACUAGGUGUGGG
This 755-nucleotide ribosomal RNA is filed under the name Oerskovia sp. YIM 48801. RNAcentral describes it as "bacterial SSU rRNA". It matches the Rfam family "Bacterial small subunit ribosomal RNA", at positions 58 to 826 of the family's 1533-position model. The record is from RNAcentral. Lineage: Bacteria; Bacillati; Actinomycetota; Actinomycetes; Micrococcales; Cellulomonadaceae.